AAUCCAUAGGUUAAUGAGGCGAACCGGGGGAACUGAAACAUCUAAGUACCCCGAGGAAAAGAAAUCAACCGAGAUUCCCCCAGUAGCGGCGAGCGAACGGGGAGGAGCCCAGAGCCUGAAUCAGCAUGUGUGUUAGUGGAAGCGUCUGGAAAGGCGCGCGAUACAGGGUGACAGCCCCGUACACAAAAGCGCAUGUGCUGUGAGCUCGAUGAGUAGGGCGGGACACGUGGUAUCCUGUCUGAAUAUGGGGGGACCAUCCUCCAAGGCUAAAUACUCCUGACUGACCGAUAGUGAACCAGUACCGUGAGGGAAAGGCGAAAAGAACCCCGGCGAGGGGAGUGAAAAAGAACCUGAAACCGUGUACGUACAAGCAGUGGGAGCACAGGUUUACCUGUGUGACUGCGUACCUUUUGUAUAAUGGGUCAGCGAC
This 430-nucleotide ribosomal RNA is filed under the name Salmonella enterica. Its description in RNAcentral is "partial 23S ribosomal RNA". It matches the Rfam family "Bacterial large subunit ribosomal RNA", at positions 161 to 627 of the family's 2925-position model. RNAcentral also lists the same sequence under 5 other names. Lineage: Bacteria; Pseudomonadati; Pseudomonadota; Gammaproteobacteria; Enterobacterales; Enterobacteriaceae. The record is from RNAcentral.